Long non-coding RNA from Myxocyprinus asiaticus (Chinese sucker), 337 nucleotides. RefSeq lists it as uncharacterized. The transcript is spliced from 3 exons. The record is from RefSeq and is a predicted model, not a curated record. Lineage: Eukaryota; Metazoa; Chordata; Actinopteri; Cypriniformes; Catostomidae.
AAGCCCCGGGCCACUGAACUUCAUGCUCUUCUGGCCUUGUUUGACUUGGAAAGACUAAGCAUUACAGCAACUCACAGAUCGGGCAACCAGCUGGAGCUCAUUUUUACAUGCCAGCGUGUAUGACACCGCCCAGCCCCUGGCUCUCUAAUGUCCUUCGUGAACAUUGGACUGACAUCAAGGCGGCUGAGAGGAGAUGGCAGAAAUCUAAACAUCCAGCAGAUCUGGAACAAGCUGCUGGAUGACAAUCAGUCAGGCUUCAAAAGUUGACAUUCCACUGAGACUGCCCUGCUUUCUGUCACUGAGUCACUGAGACAGGCAAAAGCUGGAUCCAGAUAAU